AACGAACGCUGGCGGCAUGCCUAACACAUGCAAGUCGAACGAGACCUUCGGGUCUAGUGUCGCACGGGUGCGUAACGCGUGGGAACCUGCCCUUAGGUUCGGAAUAACUCCCCGAAAGGGGUGCUAAUACCGGAUACUGUCUUCGGACCAAAGAUUUAUCGCCUUUGGAUGGGCCCGCGUUGGAUUAGCUAGUUGGUAGGGUAAAAGCCUACCAAGGCGACGAUCCAUAGCUGGUCUGAGAGGAUGAUCAGCCACACUGGGACUGAGACACGGCCCAGACUCCUACGGGAGGCAGCAGUGGGGAAUAUUGGACAAUGGGCGAAAGCCUGAUCCAGCAAUGCCGCGUGAGUGAUGAAGGCCUUAGGGUUGUAAAGCUCUUUUACCCGGGAUGAUAAUGACAGUACCGGGAGAAUAAGCUCCGGCUAACUCCGUG
Molecule: ribosomal RNA, 433 nt
Filed under: uncultured bacterium
Lineage: Bacteria
Description: partial 16S ribosomal RNA
Rfam family: Bacterial small subunit ribosomal RNA
Source: RNAcentral